This is a long non-coding RNA of Conger conger (European conger), 784 nucleotides long. RefSeq lists it as uncharacterized. Lineage: Eukaryota; Metazoa; Chordata; Actinopteri; Anguilliformes; Congridae. The record is from RefSeq and is a predicted model, not a curated record. The transcript is spliced from 5 exons.
CCCAGAGGGAAGUCUCCGACCACAUUAAAACGCUGUCCUCACAACUUCAUAUGAUGUCAUUAGAAGCACUUAUUUGCAUCUUGCUGUCAUGUGAGCCGAAGCAGGAAUUAUGGAAAUGUGGAGACCGUGAAGAUCCCAGUGUGACACCAGUUCUUCAAAUCACCAUCUCUGCUUCAGAGAAAAAAAAGAGGUCACAGCGGAUAACCUGUUCUAGAUCACUACCCUGACACCAAGAGAUAUCCUUAUUUUACUAAUGAGGAAUGACAGACAGGGAAGAGACAUUUCCAGCAUGAAGCCAGUUGUGUAAACACAGGAUCUCGCUCUGCCAAAGAGGAGCUUGACUUCAAAACAAGGCUGAGACUGUGAACCUUGCAGAAGGGCUGCAGAGGAGACCUUUUGAAGUCCCCGCGUUUCUGGUUAAGGGCCAGUCAGAGAAGUGGGCAGCCAGGGCUUUGGCCUACAUGUGUCCAAACAACCAGAUGCUAAAGAAGAAGAGCGGGAGCCAUUGGCACAGAGCAGUCCAUGAAGGCAACAUCUGUCCAUUCCAGUCACGUCGCAAGAAGUCAAUGCAUGCAAAUGCAUGCUCUUAUGGUGCCUUUUUAGCCAAAUUUGAAGACAGGAUCCAGUAUAUCCAUUGCAGUGUAGGACAUGCCAUAAUUUCUUGUCAUGACCUCAAACAUUUUAAAGCAUUUUAAUUAUAGCGACUGGUGUUACUGCCUUAUUACAAGCAACAUUUAUUUUUGAGUGUACUGGACCAACUUUAUCCUGUAAAGCAAAGCCAGUU